CGGGAAAUGUAAAAAGGAACCAGAGUUUGUCCUUGUCCUUAAAGAAGCUUUCCACCCUGAGUCCGGGAGGCAGAUAUGUAAACAAACCAUGAGGUGUGAAUCAAGAGAUAGGGCUCCAGGGUGACACCUGGGUCCUCUUUAGGAUACCCCGUCCCCGCUGCAAGUCCCUACCUCCGUGCACCUCGACUGGACGUUUGGAAGGAAAAGCACCACCGAGGACAAGAGAACAAGAACUCGGGUCGACAACAACGUGCCGAGGAAAAUUUGCAAGGGGUCAGCUCCUCGAAACCUCCCGGCAGAGAAAUGGGAAAUCACGGAUCAUGAGAAAUGGGUCAGAGCCUCUCCAUUUACUGUACAGUAGUAACAUAAGCAACUGACCUUCCGAAGAGUGUUUUAUGGUAUUUUUCAUGGCAAGGCUGUCACUCUUGGGUCCGCUAACCCUCACUUUGCUACUUCUAUUCAUACGCUUUAUAUGUAUUUAUUUGUUGAGUUAUAUAUUUUAGCUGAACUUGGAAUGACAGUUAUUUUUAAGAGGCUGCCAACAUGGGUCCGGAGGAACCUCAGAAACCUGGCUCACGGUGGCUCUGGCAUAAGGAACCUCGACAGCCAAAACCAACCAGAAAGCUGAUGAGAUCCAGGUUUCCAAAACACUAGCGGAAAGGCAUCCUUCUCUCUGCUUUCUUCCAUAAAGCUUUUGCAAAAAAAAAAAAAAGUUAUUUACCAAAGAGGACUCCUUGUGUCACGCAACCAACCACUUCCUUGAGUGUUCAGAGUGUAAAUCUAGAGGUCCGUGUGUCGGGGUCUAGAUGCAAGCAGGGUGCAGCUUUCUUCAGCUGGGUCUGCGACAAGGUGUGAGACAGGUGUGGUACCCCGGGGGGCCAGCACCCCCGAUGCAUCCAACACGGCUGCCUUCUGAAUUCGCGGCCCUGAGUUUCUCCACUGACAGCCUUCCAAAACUAAUUGAGGCUGUUAGGAUAAAGAGGGCAGUU
Molecule: long non-coding RNA, 989 nt
Organism: Mirounga angustirostris (Northern elephant seal)
Lineage: Eukaryota; Metazoa; Chordata; Mammalia; Carnivora; Phocidae
Exons: 3
Source: RefSeq, a predicted model, not a curated record